This is a small RNA of Listeria monocytogenes EGD-e, 429 nucleotides long. It matches the Rfam family "Listeria sRNA rliH". The record is from Rfam. Lineage: Bacteria; Bacillati; Bacillota; Bacilli; Caryophanales; Listeriaceae.
CUUCCAGUCCACCAAACAUAUCACAUUUUUGGCAAAGGGAGCGAUAUUUGGGAUUGGAGCGAAUAAGUUGGCAAAAAGGAGUAAAGUUACAUAAUCUAGAAACUUCGGUACCGUGUAUAUCUACAACAACUGAGGCUAAACUGGUUGCGGCUGAGAACUCAUCCAUCACUUUUUCAAUGAGCAUUUCGUUGCUUUUGGACUGUAGUAACAUAGCUAUUCCCCUUUCGGCGAGACUUGGCGUGUUUCUGUCGUUCUUAGUAUAGCAUAUUUAUAAUGCGCUUACAUUUUCUUGCCAUGAAGAUAACAAUAUAUUGCUAAGAGUAAUUUCAUAAGAGAAUGCCCAAACCAUGCAUUACUGGAUGGCUUUUUGUCAUUAUUUUUUUUGAAGGCGCAAAAUUGUGUUAAAACACGAUUCGCGUCUUCUUUUUU